Molecule: ribosomal RNA, 1193 nt
Filed under: Arthrobacter sp.
Lineage: Bacteria; Bacillati; Actinomycetota; Actinomycetes; Micrococcales; Micrococcaceae
Description: bacterial SSU rRNA
Rfam family: Bacterial small subunit ribosomal RNA
Source: RNAcentral
UGGCUCAGGAUGAACGCUGGCGGCGUGCUUAACACAUGCAAGUCGAACGAUGAUCCCAGCUUGCUGGGGGAUUAGUGGCGGACUGGAAACGGGUGAGUAACACGUGAGUAACCUGCCCUUGACUCUGGGAUAAGCCUGGGAAACUGGGUCUAAUACCGGAUACGACCGCCGUAAAUCUGGCGCAUGUCAUGGUGGUGGAAAGCUUUUGUGGUUUUGGAUGGACUCGCGGCCUAUCAGCUUGUACCGUUGGUGGGGUAAUGGCCUACCAAGGCGACGACGGGUAGCCGGCCUGAGAGGGUGACCGGCCACACUGGGACUGAGACACGGCCCAGACUCCUACGGGAGGCAGGCCAGUGGGGAAUAUUGCACAAUGGGCGCAAGCCUGAUGCAGCGACGCCGCGUGAGGGAUGACGGCCUUCGGUAGUUGUAAACCUCUUUCAGUAGGGAAGAAGCCGUAAGGUGACGGUACCUGCAGAAGAAGCGCCGGCUAACUACGUGCCAGCNNAGCCGCGGUAAUACGUAGGGCGCAAGCGUUAUCCGGAAUUAUUGGGCGUAAAGAGCUCGUAGGCGGUUUGUCGCGUCUGCGCUUGUGUGAAAGACCGGGGCUCAACUCCGGUUCUGCAGUGGGUACGGGCAGACUAGAGUGCAGUAGGGGAGACUGGAAUUCCUGGUGUAGCGGUGAAAUGCGCAGAUAUCAGGAGGAACACCGAUGGCGAAGGCCCAUGCCGUAGGUCUCUGGGCUGUAACUGACGCUGAGGAGCGAAAGCAUGGGGAGCGAACAGGAUUAGAUACCCUGGUAGUCCAUGCCGUAAACGUUGGGCACUAGGUGUGGGGGACAUUCCACGUUUUCCGCGCCGUAGCUAACGCAUUAAGUGCCCCGCCUGGGGAGUACGGCCGCAAGGCUAAAACUCAAAGGAAUUGACGGGGGCCCGCACAAGCGGCGGAGCAUGCGGAUUAAUUCGAUGCAACGCGAAGAACCUUACCAAGGCUUGACAUGAACCGGUAAUACCUGGAAACAGGUGCCCCGCUUGCGGUCGGUUUACAGGUGGUGCAUGGUUGUCGUCAGCUCGUGUCGUGAGAUGUUGGGUUAAGUCCCGCAACGAGCGCAUGUUGCCAGCGGUUCGGCCGGGGACUCAUAGGAGACUGUGGCGUCAAGCUGCCAAUCUCUGGAAGGGCAACUCAAUCAAAGGCUG